GAGACAGCAGUCGCCACGGUAAUACAGAGGGUGCAAGCGUUAAUCGGAAUUACUGGGCGUAAAGCGCGCGUAGGUGGUUUGUUAAGUUGGAUGUGAAAUCCCCGGGCUCAACCUGGGAACUGCAUCCAAAACUGGCAAGCUAGAGUAUGGUAGAGGGUGGUGGAAUUUCCUGUGUAGCGGUGAAAUGCGUAGAUAUAGGAAGGAACACCAGUGGCGAAGGCGACCACCUGGACUGAUACUGACACUGAGGUGCGAAAGCGUGGGGAGCAAACAGGAUUAGAUACCCCUGUAGUCCCUGUCUCUUAUAC
Molecule: ribosomal RNA, 308 nt
Filed under: uncultured bacterium
Lineage: Bacteria
Description: partial 16S ribosomal RNA
Rfam family: Bacterial small subunit ribosomal RNA
Source: RNAcentral